This 105-nucleotide small RNA is filed under the name bovine gut metagenome. RNAcentral describes it as "RT-5 RNA". It matches the Rfam family "RT-5 RNA". From Rfam's summary of the family: Clostridium (Firmicutes). Environment (Cow rumen (57)) The record is from RNAcentral.
UGCACCUGCGGCAGAUCCGGCACAAAUUCUCUGAAUGGCUUCGCAGGUAGCCAAUUUGUGUACGAUCCGGUAUAUCCCAUAAUUUUAUGGGAUUUAAUGAUUUCU